RNAcentral lists this ribosomal RNA (551 nucleotides) under uncultured Pseudomonas sp. RNAcentral's name for it is "bacterial SSU rRNA". It matches the Rfam family "Bacterial small subunit ribosomal RNA", at positions 198 to 730 of the family's 1533-position model. The record is from RNAcentral. Lineage: Bacteria; Pseudomonadati; Pseudomonadota; Gammaproteobacteria; Pseudomonadales; Pseudomonadaceae.
GGGAGAAAGCAGGGGACCUUCGGGCCUUGCGCUAUCAGAUGAGCCUAGGUCGGAUUAGCUAGUUGGUGGGGUAAUGGCUCACCAAGGCGACGAUCCGUAACUGGUCUGAGAGGAUGAUCAGUCACACUGGAACUGAGACACGGUCCAGACUCCUACGGGAGGCAGCAGUGGGGAAUAUUGGACAAUGGGCGAAAGCCUGAUCCAGCCAUGCCGCGUGUGUGAAGAAGGUCUUCGGAUUGUAAAGCACUUUAAGUUGGGAGGAAGGGCAGUAAAUUAAUACUUUGCUGUUUUGACGUUACCGACAGAAUAAGCACCGGCUAACUCUGUGCCAGCAGCCGCGGUAAUACAGAGGGUGCAAGCGUUAAUCGGAAUUACUGGGCGUAAAGCGCGCGUAGGUGGUUCGUUAAGUUGGAUGUGAAAUCCCCGGGCUCAACCUGGGAACUGCAUUCAAAACUGACGAGCUAGAGUAUGGUAGAGGGUGGUGGAAUUUCCUGUGUAGCGGUGAAAUGCGUAGAUAUAGGAAGGAACACCAGUGGCGAAGGCGACCACCU